UUCAAUAAAAAGCUAUGAAUCUCGUCAGGUUCGGAAGAAAGCAGCGAUAAGUAGUGCAUUUAUGUGAA
RNAcentral lists this signal recognition particle RNA (68 nucleotides) under Dorea sp. RNAcentral's name for it is "signal recognition particle sRNA small type". It matches the Rfam family "Bacterial small signal recognition particle RNA", at positions 15 to 78 of the family's 97-position model. Rfam says of the family: The signal recognition particle (SRP) is a universally conserved ribonucleoprotein involved in the co-translational targeting of proteins to membranes. Archaeal SRP consists of a 7S RNA and homologues of the eukaryotic SRP19 and SRP54 proteins. In most bacteria, the SRP consists of a 4.5S RNA and the Ffh protein (a homologue of the eukaryotic SRP54 protein). The record is from RNAcentral. Lineage: Bacteria; Bacillati; Bacillota; Clostridia; Lachnospirales; Lachnospiraceae.